CCUACGGGUGGCAGCAGUGGGGAAUAUUGGACAAUGGGCGAAAGCCUGAUCCAGCCAUGCCGCGUGUGUGAAGAAGGCCUUCGGGUUGUAAAGCACUUUCAGUGGGGAAGAAAGCCUUGGGGCUAAUACCCUCGAGGAAGGACAUCACCCACAGAAGAAGCACCGGCUAACUCCGUGCCAGCAGCCGCGGUAAUACGGAGGGUGCGAGCGUUAAUCGGAAUUACUGGGCGUAAAGCGCGCGUAGGCGGUCUGAUAAGCCGGUUGUGAAAGCCCCGGGCUCAACCUGGGAACGGCAUCCGGAACUGUCAGGCUAGAGUGCAGGAGAGGAAGGUAGAAUUCCCGGUAUAGCGGUGAAAUGCGUAGAGAUCGGGAGGAAUACCAGUGGCGAAGGCGGCCUUCUGGACUGACACUGACGCUGAGGUGCGAAAGCGUGGGUAGCAAACAGGAUUAGAUACCCUCGUAGUC
Molecule: ribosomal RNA, 465 nt
Filed under: Vreelandella stevensii
Lineage: Bacteria; Pseudomonadati; Pseudomonadota; Gammaproteobacteria; Oceanospirillales; Halomonadaceae
Description: partial 16S ribosomal RNA
Rfam family: Bacterial small subunit ribosomal RNA
Source: RNAcentral